This is a long non-coding RNA of Panicum virgatum (switchgrass), 1587 nucleotides long. RefSeq lists it as uncharacterized. The transcript is spliced from 3 exons. Lineage: Eukaryota; Viridiplantae; Streptophyta; Magnoliopsida; Poales; Poaceae. The record is from RefSeq and is a predicted model, not a curated record.
CUCAGCCUCUCGAAGCUCCGUGUUCGGUCGUUGCCUUCUAGCGCCGCUAGCCGCAGGCAGCCCGAGAUGUUUCUUCCCCGCCACCCCUCUCUCCCUCGUGGGCUCGUGGCUUCGUCUCCGGUCGUUCCCUAGUUCCCUGCCGGUAGCGCGACAGCUUUCCUCCUCUCUACUCGUUUCCUUCCCUCAUCAUCUCCGUGGCAUCUCCAUCGGCGAUGAAGCUGUUUUCCAACGCCGCACAGGUUGGAUUCGAUUCGAAGAAUCCCGACAACUAGCGUUUCUACUCGCCGGCGCGCAGUUGAGGUACUCCAUCUUCCGCGACAGUCUAGACGACGGACAAGGAGAUGGCGGCUGGGAGCGACACAAAGGAAGAGUGGAGAAGUCACCCCGCGGCAGAGGUGCCUGGUGACUGACUCACUGGUGCGCCAUCAAUUAGUCCUCACGCGUGCAGGCAAGCGCUGCACCGGUUGAGUUGAUGUCAACACAGUGUAUUUAUGCGCAACAAGUGCAAGCUAGCCUGAUUAUGUGCUAGUAGUGCUACAUCAAAGUCCAGCUCCAAAUCGCUUAUCAGAGGAUCAGCCUCCUCCAUCUUGCCUUCUCGGACACCAUAGCAAGUGCUGCUGAUUGCUGCUUACCGAUUGUUUGCCCUGCCUCUACUGCCGGCACCAUCCAUCGCCAAGUUGGCGAGCAAUUGGAAGCGCAAACAUAGGCGCAUCGUCUCUGCUGCUUGCAAAGUAUUCGACAAAAUAUCCAGCGCCUUACACAGCAAGCUGCACAGUCCUGUUCGCGCAAUACCAUGCAUUAAGUGUAGUCAAUUCCAUGUUUGUACUUGCGAGAAAAUUAAACCGCGAUGUGAUUAACUCUAUUUGUGCAGUUCACAAUGGUGUGAAACGGCAACUGCAAGCCGACACUAGAGCCAAGAGGGACAGCCUGUUGACAAGCACUUCGACCGCAAUAUCAUGAGCUGCCAGGCAACAAGGAAAGCAGGCUACUGCAGUUCACUGUAAUUCAGCAAUCUAAGACACCAAUGACAUUACCAUGAGCAUGUCACUGCACCAAAUGAGCCGGUACUGUAUCUGUGGAGUCACCUAGCAUCUAGGAGAACGAAGGCGGCAAGCUUGGGAGAAACAUGUUGUUGAAAUUCUCAAGAACACGUAAUUCUACCUUCCGCGAUCGUAAGAUCCUGGACAGAAUCCUCAACCAUGAGUAAUUAACUCUUUGCAAAGGAUCAGACACUAGAAAGAUGUUGGAGUUCAUGUGCAGAAGAAAAGAGCAAAAGUUGGACCGACAAUUUGGGAGCCUCAUGCUAAGAUAACAGAACAAAUAUGCGACUCCACCGAAGUGGCAGUCUCAAGUAGGGAAUACCUUGGAUGCUUAAGUUUAUGGUGCGGUGUUAAUUUGUCGUCUACAUAUCAUAUUUCAUAUGACAGCUAAUAGAUUUUUUUUUCACAAAGGAUAAUAAAGGGUGAUAAGUGGAAACAGAAUUUCAACUUAUCACCCUUUAAUAUCCUGUGUAAAAAUAAAAUAUUUAUGUACUCAAGUUGGAUUUAUAAUGUUGAUGACCUACUUUUCAUCUUUGGUAUACUUCAA